RNAcentral lists this ribosomal RNA (1318 nucleotides) under Salmonella enterica subsp. enterica. RNAcentral's name for it is "bacterial LSU rRNA". It matches the Rfam family "Bacterial large subunit ribosomal RNA", at positions 1 to 1348 of the family's 2925-position model. The record is from RNAcentral. Lineage: Bacteria; Pseudomonadati; Pseudomonadota; Gammaproteobacteria; Enterobacterales; Enterobacteriaceae.
GGGUUGUGAGGUUAAGCGACUAAGCGUACACGGUGGAUGCCCUGGCAGUCAGAGGCGAUGAAGGGCGUGCUAAUCUGCGAUAAGCGCCGGUAAGGUGAUAUGAACCGUUAUAACCGGCGAUACCCGAAUGGGGAAACCCAGUGUGACUCGUCACACUAUCAUUAACUGAAUCCAUAGGUUAAUGAGGCGAACCGGGGGAACUGAAACAUCUAAGUACCCCGAGGAAAAGAAAUCAACCGAGAUUCCCCCAGUAGCGGCGAGCGAACGGGGAGGAGCCCAGAGCCUGAAUCAGCAUGUGUGUUAGUGGAAGCGUCUGGAAAGGCGCGCGAUACAGGGUGACAGCCCCGUACACAAAAGCGCAUGUGCUGUGAGCUCGAUGAGUAGGGCGGGACACGUGGUAUCCUGUCUGAAUAUGGGGGGACCAUCCUCCAAGGCUAAAUACUCCUGACUGACCGAUAGUGAACCAGUACCGUGAGGGAAAGGCGAAAAGAACCCCGGCGAGGGGAGUGAAAAAGAACCUGAAACCGUGUACGUACAAGCAGUGGGAGCACAGGUUUACCUGUGUGACUGCGUACCUUUUGUAUAAUGGGUCAGCGACUUAUAUUCUGUAGCAAGGUUAACCGAAUAGGGGAGCCGGAGGGAAACCGAGUCUUAACUGGGCGUUAAGUUGCAGGGUAUAGACCCGAAACCCGGUGAUCUAGCCAUGGGCAGGUUGAAGGUUGGGUAACACUAACUGGAGGACCGAACCGACUAAUGUUGAAAAAUUAGCGGAUGACCUGUGGCUGGGGGUGAAAGGCCAAUCAAACCGGGAGAUAGCUGGUUCUCCCCGAAAGCUAUUUAGGUAGCGCCUCGUGAAUUCAUCUCCGGGGGUAGAGCACUGUUUCGGCUAGGGGGCCAUCCCGGCUUACCAACCCGAUGCAAACUGCGAAUACCGGAGAAUGUUAUCACGGGAGACACACGGCGGGUGCUAACGUCCGUCGUGAAGAGGGAAACAACCCAGACCGCCAGCUAAGGUCCCAAAGUCAUGGUUAAGUGGGAAACGAUGUGGGAAGGCCCAGACAGCCAGGAUGUUGGCUUAGAAGCAGCCAUCAUUUAAAGAAAGCGUAAUAGCUCACUGGUCGAGUCGGCCUGCGCGGAAGAUGUAACGGGGCUAAACCAUGCACCGAAGCUGCGGCAGCGACACUGUGUGUUGUUGGGUAGGGGAGCGUUCUGUAAGCCUGUGAAGGUGGCCUGUGAGGGUUGCUGGAGGUAUCAGAAGUGCGAAUGCUGACAUAAGUAACGAUAAAGCGGGUGAAAAGCCCGCUCGCCGGAAGACCAA